CCACAAUUCCCAACCAACGCGGCUCCGCUACACAUCCUCUAUUCAUUUUAAUGGAGAAAUAGCUUGAGCUGCUCUGAGAAUUUUAAAAGCACGAAAGCCAACGGUCCAAUAUACUCUAAACACUGCUGUGCAUACACAUACACGUUUUUGGACUAUGAUAGACGCUUAAGAGAGACAGUAGUGGUGCCGCUUCACUAGAAUCUGACUAACUGUAUUCUGUGCUGGUUGGUUUUGCCUGUCAGGUAUUUGAGGAGGUGCCUCUGGAUGCAGACGGGAGUAUAAACUCAGGCACUGGAUGUGGCUCUCCUGCAGUGUCUUUCUUCCAGCAGUUCUUCCACUGCUACUCUCCUGUAGGCUUCGGACGAAGGAAAGACCCCAGAGGAGACUACAUCAGGCGCUACAUCCUUACGCUAAAGGACUAUCCCAACUACUACAUCUAUGA
RNAcentral lists this long non-coding RNA (442 nucleotides) under Oncorhynchus kisutch (coho salmon). Its description in RNAcentral is "lncRNA (ENSOKIG00005022137.1)". Lineage: Eukaryota; Metazoa; Chordata; Actinopteri; Salmoniformes; Salmonidae. The record is from RNAcentral.